Molecule: microRNA, 22 nt
Filed under: Pristionchus pacificus
Lineage: Eukaryota; Metazoa; Nematoda; Chromadorea; Rhabditida; Neodiplogasteridae
Description: ppc-miR-8336-5p
Source: miRBase by way of RNAcentral
UACUUGAACUGCAUAUUUCGGA